Molecule: RNA transcript, 2088 nt
Organism: Populus nigra (black poplar)
Lineage: Eukaryota; Viridiplantae; Streptophyta; Magnoliopsida; Malpighiales; Salicaceae
Gene name: fasciclin-like arabinogalactan protein 15
Exons: 3
Source: RefSeq, a predicted model, not a curated record
CCUGUCCUGACCUUUCACAACCUCAAAUAAAAGUGUCCACUACUUCCAAAGUUAGAAGUCUUCCUCCGCCUGCGUGUCUCUUCUCUAAGCAAAAUCCAUCCCCACCCUCUAAAGGCCAACCAAACCAUCCUUCCGCUACCCUCCACGAACCCAGAGCAAGCACCCCUCAAUAGUGCACUACUCAACACACACCCAUUUAGCCAGAAUUCAAAGAAAACUACAAAUUUCUCACCCUUCUCAAUUUCAAGUUCCAGUCUGUCUUUGAGCACCAUGGAUUCUCACAUCUAUGGUGUCUCCGAGAAAACCCUUUUUCUCUUUACCCUUCUUUGUUUUUCCGUCGCCUCCAUUUCUGCAUUGCCCCACCAGAAUAGAACUGGCAAUAGUACGGUUACGGGUCAGAUGAUAAACUCCAACUCGGUUCUUGUUGCCCUCCUUGACUCGCAUUACACUGAGUUAGCUGAGCUCGUUGAGAAGGCUCUCCUUCUGCAAACCCUUGAAGAAGCUGUUGGCAAACACAACAUCACCAUCUUUGCACCAAAAAAUGAAGCUUUAGAGCGUCAACUUGACCCAGAAUUCAAACGGUUUUUACUUGAACCCGGUAAUCUCAAAUCUCUCCAAACCCUUUUGUUGUUCCACAUUAUCCCCCAACGGGUCGGAUCCAAUGACUGGCCGGGUCAUAAAGCAAACCCCACCAGGCACACCACUCUCUGCAACGACCAUCUGCACUUAAUCACCAAGAAUUCAGGCAAAAAGCUUGUCGGAGCCGCCGUGGUGACCCGACCGGAUGAUGUGACCCGUCCCGAUGGAGUAAUCCACGGUAUUGAACGCCUCCUAGUUCCACAAUCAGUACAGGAAGACUUCAACAGGAGAAGAAAUCUGAGAUCCAUAUCAGCUGUUUUGCCAGAAGGAGCACCGGAAGUAGACCCCAGAACCCAUAGAUUGAAAAAACCCGAACCACCACUUCGGGCCGGGUCACCACCGGUUUUGCCCGUUUAUGAUGCCAUGUCUCCUGGACCAUCACUGGCUCCCGCCCCAGCUCCAGGACCCGGCGGACCUCACCACCAUUUCGAUGGAGAAAGCCAAGUCAAAGACUUCAUACAGACGUUACUACACUAUGGUGGCUACAAUGAGAUGGCUGAUAUUUUAGUGAACUUAACCUCAUUAGCCACUGAAAUGGGCAGGUUAGUUUCUGAAGGUUACGUGCUGACAGUUUUGGCACCGAAUGACGAAGCCAUGGCUAAGCUAACAACAGACCAGUUGAGCGAGCCAGGGGCACCAGAGCAGAUCAUCUAUUACCACAUAAUUCCUGAGUACCAAACUGAAGAGAGCAUGUAUAAUGCUGUUAGGAGGUUUGGGAAAAUUGGGUAUGAUACACUGAGGUUGCCACAUAAAGUUGUGGCUCAAGAAGCUGACGGGUCGGUUAAGUUCGGGUCGGGUGAUGGGUCGGCCUAUUUGUUUGACCCGGAUAUCUAUACAGAUGGGAGGAUUUCAGUUCAAGGGAUUGAUGGGGUUUUGUUUCCUGAAGUUGAGAAAGAAAGUACUACUGUUAAGAAAUCCGUUAGCUCUGUUAAGGUUGCCACUACCACGCCAAGAAGAGGGAAGUUAAUGGAAGUAGCUUGUAGAAUGCUCGGAAGUCUUGGGCAGGAGUCGCAUUUCACCACAUGCCAAUGAACAUACACAGCAAAAAUCUCAAAGAGAGUAAAAAUGGAACCAUGAAAACAAUAGAGAAAAGGAAAGGCCUUUGUGAAAUAGAAACAGAAUGGGAGAGAUGAGAUUGCACUGUGUGAUUUCCUCUGAAUAAUCCCACCACCCAUAACAGAGUCUGUUGGUGUUUUGUUAUAAAUACUGUAAUUACACACCAUUUUUUAAUUAUUUUUCAUGUAUGAACAAACUUGGAAAGCUACCCUCUCUCUCUCUCUCUCUAUCUUCAUUUUUUGUUUUUUAUAAUGGGCUGUCCUCCUUUUGCCCUCAUAUGUUCCACAGCUCGUGAAUCAACUUGAAACUUUUUCCAAUUAUUGUAGUCUGGGAAAGAUGACCUGUAUUUGGUCUCGAGAUUUUGUUUGAUAAAUAAAAUGUUAAUUGCGGUGA